CCACUUAACUUUUUUUCUUCUUAACUCUCGUAUCUUUCUCCAUUACACAUUACAACAUAUUUAUACCUUUUUCAUCCAGAAUCUAAUUACAUUGAAUUAAACCAAAACAAGACCCCGUUAAGAGAUAUUGGCUUAAGUUACUUAAUGGACCAUAUUCUUUUCUUUUCGUAGGCCAUUACAAAAUUAAUCACAACAUAAGCUCAUACAAACUCUUACGUAAUGAUGAAAUAAUACAUCACGAUCAUGAUGAAAAGCGCACACAACCAUGUUUUUGAAAUUUCCUAGCUCUUGUAUCUCUUUCUCGUAUAAUUUAACUUCGAUAUUGAGCUCUCCAACCUGAAUCUUGUGCUUGUCAAUCUGAAUCUUGUGCUUUGAUGACUAACAGAUAAAUCUGCCAUCAAAACAAAAUAAGUUAUACAACCUACAAACAAAUCUGCGAUGAGCAACAAAUAAAUCUGCAAACACUUACAAAAAAUUUGCUAAGAAACAGAUAAAACUGCUAACACAAACCAAUAAAUAUGUCAUCAAACAACAACAAAAACUGCGAUGAGCUAACUCUCAAACCUAAACCUAAGCUAAGUUUCUUAUAUAAAAACAUGCAAACAUUUUACAAACUUAAGCUAAUUAUCUAACAAAACCUGAAACUUAGAACAAGAAACCUACAACUUAUCAAAUCUAAACCUGCAAAUUCAUUUACCAAACAAAUUUACGAUAACAAGUAAAUCUGCGAACACUAACAAUAAAUCUCCCAUAAAACAACAACAAAUCUUCCAUCAAACAAUACACAAAUAUGCUAAAGCUAAUUCUCAAACAAAUCUGCGAAAACUAAUUCUCUAAAAAAACCUACAAAUUGUUUACAAGUUUGAGCUAAUUAACUGAUAGAGUUUAGAUCUAUCUCAACACAACAACCCAGAAAAUUGAGAAUCAACCAAAUCAAUUUAUUACUCUAAUCACAAAUCGUGAACAGAGAAAAAAACAACGAUCGUUUCUGUAACAGAGAAUUACAAAACGAAUCUAAAGGAACGAUCUCAUGACGAUCGAUUCCCAGCUAGCACGCAGGCUCAGCAACACACACAACACAUAAAAAAGCAUCCCUGAAAGAGAUGAGCAACGGCUCCUUUUAUUGACUCAGAGAAGUUGAAACCCUCUGAUACGACCCAAGUCUUCGCUCCUUCCUUUUAGCCACUUGCCACGUCACCACUUGCCACCUGUGACGAAUUCUGUAUCUCAGCAUUGACCACGUUGACUUCUCCUCUCUUCCUCUUUCGAUAGUAGCAUUGAUGGACCUUAUCAAUACACCCCGCCGGAAAAAUAAGCUUGUCCUCAAGCUUAAAAUCGGGAUACUGCUGCACAAAAUCUUUUGACGACAUCCACGAAUUCGCAACCUCCGGAAAACCCGACCACUGAAUCAGAAAUUCACGGUUACCCGUCGCGUUACUCUGCACUUCCAAAAUCGCCGCCGGUAGCAAAACUGAUUCCUCUGUGUCGGAGAGGACAGGUAACUCUGUUUGCACUUGAUGGUGUGGACCCAGAACUGCCUUCAAUUGCGACACGUGAAACACCGGAUGGAUUGAAGCUUCCACUGGUAGUUUCAAACGAUAGGCGACUGCGCCGAUGCGUUCCCCAAUCUCAAAAGGACAAAAAACUUCGCUGCUAACUUCUGACAAACACGGCGCGAGACUGAUUGCUGACGAUAUGGUUGUAAUUUCAGAAAAACCCAGUCACCUACUGCGAAUUCCACCUCCCGGCGCUUCAGAUCAGCACUUUUCUUCAUCAACUGUUGUGCCCGAGCUAAAUUAACUCUGAUUCUGGCCAGCAUUUCGUCCCGCUCUUGUAGCUGAGCUGCCAAAGUAACAUUGUUGGUGGAGCCUGGUUCAAAACGUAGGAGCUGCGGAGGUUCACGCCCGUAAACCACUUGAAAGGGAGUUGAUUUCAAAGCAGUGUGAAAGGAUGUGUUAUAUGAAAACUCAGCCCACGGCAAAUACUUAAACCAGGUUCUCGGAUGACUAGAAGCAAAACACCGUAGAUAAGACUCCAAACAACGAUUCAACACUUCAGUUUGGCCAUCAGAUUGUGGAUGGUAUGCGGUGCUAAAGUUGAGCUGUGUACCCGCCAAACGGAAUGUCUCCUUCCAUACUGAACUCAAGAACACUCUGUCCCGAUCUGAAACCAGUGUUUUAGGAACCCCAUGAAGCCGAAUGAUCUCACAACAGAACUUGGUAGCUACAUCCAAGGCUGUGAAAGGAUGACACAGACCCAGGAAAUGAGCAUACUUACUGAAUCUAUCAACCACCACCAAGAUAGCAUUCACGCCACCCGAUUUUGGAAGUCCCUCAAUGAAAUCCAGUGACAAAUCUUCCCAUAUCCGUGUUGGAAUUGGUAGAGGCUGCAACAAACCCGCAGGAGAAAGAGUUGAAGUUUUAUGUGUCUGACAUAUAGAGCACUCUGCCACAUACUUUUGAAUAUCUUUGUGCAUGCCUUCCCAAUGGAAACUCUCCUGUAUUCUUUUCUUUGUCUUGAGAACUCCUCCAUGACCACCCAACUUACUGUCAUGGAAUUCUUGUAAAAGUAACUUGAUGAAUGGAGAAUCCUUUGGAAUAACCAACCUCUUCUUAUACCAUAAUUUUGCAGCAUGAACCUGAUAAUGACCCUGUUUUUCUGGUUUCACUAACACUUGUUGUAUGACAGCUUGAAUAUGAGAGUCCCUCUCAAUUUCCUUGUACACAUCCUGUAGCUGUAGGGACACUGGUACUGUCAAUGCUAACAAUACCGCAGAUGACACACUGAUCCCUGGUUGCUGAACUCUUGAUAACCCAUCAGCCGCUUUGUUUUCCACACCCGGUUUAUAGUAAAUCUCCAUGUCAAACCCCAUUAGCUUAGUUAACCAACGUUGAUACUCAAGACUGACCUCCUUUUGCUCCAACAAAUACUUCAAACUUCGGUGAUCAGUAUGAACUGCAAACUUACGGCCAAUUAAGUAAUGCUUCCACUUAAGAACUGCCAGCACUAUGGCCAUUAACUCUCUCUCAUACGCCGGUUUCAGUUGCUCCCUUGGUGUUAACCCGUGGCUAAAGUAGGCCAAAGGUCUAUGACCUUGCAUCAGCACUGCGCCUACUCCCACUCCAGACGCGUCUGUCUCCACCACAAAUUGUUUACUAAAGUCAGGCAAGCCAAGGACAGGAGCUGAAAUCAUCGCCAUCUUCAGUUUGUCAAAAGCUUGCUGAGCUUGAUUGGACCAUUCAAACUGAUCUUUGCGCAACAAAUCUGUCAAUGGUUUGGCCACCAUGCCAUAACCUUGAACAAACUUGCGAUAAUAACCAGUUAGGCCUAAGAACCCCCGCAGUUGCUUGACAGUAACAGGCGUUGGCCAGAGACGCAUUGCAUCAGUCUUCGUAACAUCUGUAGCCACUCCCUUAGCAGAGAUAAUAUGACCCAAGUAUUCAACCUGUGACACUCCAAAUGAACACUUCUUCAUGUUGGCAAACAACGUGAUGCUCAUCUAACAACUGCAGCACCAACUGUAAAUGCUCCACAUGAGAAGCAACAUCGUCACUAAAAACCAAGAUAUCAUCAAAAAAUACAAGCACAAAUUUGCGCAAGUAAGGUUUGAAUAUCUUGUUCAUGAGAGCCUGAAAGGUAGCCGGGGCGUUAGUAAGGCCAAAAGGCAUUACGAGGAACUCAUAGUGCCCCUCCAGAGUCCGGAAUGCAGUCUUAGCCACAUCCUCGGGUUUCAUUCUUAUUUGAUGGUAGCCCGAUCGUAAAUCCAGCUUAGAAUAGAUGGUAGACCCAUGUAGUUCAUCUAGCAACUGAUCAAUCACCGGAAUGGGAAAUUUGUCUGGAAUAGUCACCUUAUUUAGGGCUCUAUAAUCAACACAAAACCUCCAGGAAGCGUCCUUCUUCUUAACUAGCAAAACAGGACUAGAAAAAGGACUUGUACUUGGUCUAAUGAUUCCUGAAGUCAGCAUCUCCGCCACUAAAUUCUCCAUAGUCUCCUUACGGGCAUGUGGAUAGCGAUAUGGCCUUACAGAGAUAGCGGAGACACCUGGUAAGAGGUUGAUAGCGUGAUCCUGGCCUCGGAAAGGAGGUAAUCCAGAAGGCAGUGCAAAAACCUGAGAAUAACGGUGCAACAACUCUGCUACCGCUGAGGGAACAAGAGGAACAAUAGCUGGAGGCUCACUACUCUUCAGCACAGCUAAUUGAGCCCUUGAACGCCCAACAUAGGGAGGUGCACACAAUGUUUUCAAGGACAAUGGUGAAUCAUGAAGGGUAGCAUCUCCAUAUAAUAGCACUGGCUGCCCUCCAUAUAAGAAAGACCAUUCCUGUAACUUCCAAUCCACCACACAUUUCCCCAGGGUUUCCAGCCAUUGGACCCCAAGGAUGACAUCAACACUCCCCAACUCCAGUGUGAUGAAAUCCUGGAGGAACUCAACACCAGACAACCGGAAAUGAACAUCACGACAGGUUCCUGUUCCUUGAACAGUGACACCAUUACCAAGCAGCACUUCAAGACCUGAAUCUUGUUGAAUGGUAAGUUUUAAUUUUAAUGCCACUGCUGGAGUGAUAAAGUUAUGCGAUGCCCCACAAUCAAUCAUCACAAUCACUCUGGUCUUGCCCAUAAAACCUACCAUUUUAGUUGUUUUUGGUGAAUGCAACCCUACAUAAGAGUUGAAAGAUAAGGUCCUCAACUCAGGUUUCACUGCAACCACCAAAGGUUGCUCUUCUUCCACACAUUCAAUCAUAUUUUCAUCUAACACCUCAAGUUCAUACCCAUUCACCACUGUUAAAACUCUCAACUCUUUCAUUGGACAUUCAUGGCCACGGAAGUACUUUCCCUUGCAUUUGAAACAGAUUCCUUUACUCCUCAUGGCGUCAAGUUCUGCAUCAUUGUGACGAAUACGAGGACGACCCAGAGGCUUUGGACUGCUCUCUGGAGACUUCCCAAUAGAAGGACUUGGAGGAAUCCCUACUGGUUUAGGAGCAUGGGAAGUGAACACUGGCCGUGCAGGUGGAGGAAUAGGCUGACUUUGAUGCUUCGUUCCUUCGCCAGUUUCACUAACCAGUUUGCAAAAAGAGCUUGAUUCCAUUUUCAACACAGCGGUAAUGUGAUUUGGCAGUCCCUUAGGCUCUUUCAUUUUGAUAACCUCCUUCAUCUCAUGCUUAAGACCAUUAUAAAAAAUUUUCUCCAAGUGUGUAUCAUCCAACCCCAUCACCUGAGAAGAUAAAUCCUGAAACUCAGUGAUGUAUGCAGCCACUGAUCCCACCUGUUUAAUGGCAAAUAGUCUAUUCCCCGGUUCAUCAUCAAUAGUACCACCAAAAUGAAUCAACAGACGGUUCUUAAACUCCUCCCACGACCCAAAAUCACGACGCGAAACCUCCCAGUUAAACCAUUUCAACACAUCCCCUUCCAAACUUAAGGAAACCAAAUCCAACUUAGCCGCAUCGCUAAAACGACCCACCCGAAAAAAACGCUCCACCUGUGAAAUCCAAGCAUACGGCUGCGAUCCAGUAAACACAGGCAUCUUAAUUUUUUUUAACAAUUUAUCGCGAGUUUCCAGAGGUAACCCCGAAGAUCGAGUUUCGGACGAGUGUAGAUCGGGAAGAAUCUGACCCGAAAACGACUGUCGGGAAGGCUCACCUUCAUCAACUUUUUUUCCAGCGUGAAUCUCCAAACGAUCCAACGUUUUCACCACCGAUUUGAGCAACUCUUCCAACGACACAAGCUUAGACUCCGUCUCCACCUUCGCUUCACACAAACCCUGAAAACCCAAACGCAAAUUCCUCAUCUGCACAUAUAUUGCAUCAGAAGAACCCGUAUCUUCUUCAAACACAUCAGAUCCAUCGCGAUCCAUGAUCAACACAAGUAACGAACCAGUUUCACCGCACCAAUGAUAGAGUUUAGAUCUAUCUCAACACAACAACCCAGAAAAUUGAGAAUCAACCAAAUCAAUUUAUUACUCUAAUCACAAAUCGUGAACAGAGAAAAAAACAACGAUCGUUUCUGUAACAGAGAAUUACAAAACGAAUCUAAAGGAACGAUCUCAUGACGAUCGAUUCCCAGCUAGCACGCAGGCUCAGCAACACACACAACACAUAAAAAAGCAUCCUUGAAAGAGAUGAGCAACGGCUCCUUUUAUUGACUCAGAGAAGUUGAAACCCUCUGAUACGACCCAAGUCUUCGCUCCUUCCUUUUAGCCACUUGCCACGUCACCACUUGCCACCUGUGACGAAUUCUGUAUCUCAGCAUUGACCACGUUGACUUCUCCUCUCUUCCUCUUUCGAUAGUAGCAUUGAUGGACCUUAUCAUAANNNNNNNNNNNNNNNNNNNNNNNNNNNNNNNNNNNNNNNNNNNNNNNNNNNNNNNNNNNNNNNNNNNNNNNNNNNNNNNNNNNNNNNNNNNNNNNNNNNNNNNNNNNNNNNNNNNNNNNNNNNNNNNNNNNNNNNNNNNNNNNNNNNNNNNNNNNNNNNNNNNNNNNNNNNNNNNNNNNNNNNNNNNNNNNNNNNNNNNNNNNNNNNNNNNNNNNNNNNNNNNNNNGUUUAAAAGUUUUAUAACAUCUUCACCGUCGCUGCCUUCUUUUCCGUCCUCAGCAUCAAAACCAGAGCUACAAAUAAAUCGGCAAUCAGAUAACAUUCAAAUCUGCCAUCAAACGAUAUACAAAUCUGCCACAAACAGAGAUUAGGGUUUAAAAUUGUUUUACACCAUUGUCGCUGCCGCCUUCUUCUUCUCCAAAUUUGUUGUUGUUGUCAUAUAAUCGCCUUGCAGAGAACCACCAUCAAAAACCGCCAAACCAGUUGGUAGCAAAAAGGAGAAGACGACGCGGCCGAUGACAGUUUGUGGCGAAGAAGAGAAGACGACUCGACCGAGGAAAGUUGGUGGCAGAGAGGAGAAGACGAACCACAUAUGGUGGCGGCGAAAUCUGAAGAAGAAGAGUUGAGAAUUUAGGUUUUGUUUUUAGACAGGUGCUCCGGAGAAAACAACUCCGUGAGAAGCAGCGUCUAAGCAUUCGCCGGAGAAGCUGCGUCGAAGAACUCACCGGAGAAGAAGGCGAGAGAAUUUUUCUCUCUGGAAUUUUGGGGCUCGACGAUGGAGAAAAAAUGAGAGAGAAUCUCAAAAGGUUUU
Molecule: long non-coding RNA, 7117 nt
Filed under: Arabidopsis lyrata
Lineage: Eukaryota; Viridiplantae; Streptophyta; Magnoliopsida; Brassicales; Brassicaceae
Description: long non-coding RNA (ALYR_LNC000244)
Source: RNAcentral